This 374-nucleotide RNase P RNA is filed under the name chicken gut metagenome. RNAcentral's name for it is "Bacterial RNase P class B". It matches the Rfam family "Bacterial RNase P class B". Rfam says of the family: Ribonuclease P (RNase P) is a ubiquitous endoribonuclease, found in archaea, bacteria and eukarya as well as chloroplasts and mitochondria. Its best characterised activity is the generation of mature 5'-ends of tRNAs by cleaving the 5'-leader elements of precursor-tRNAs. Cellular RNase Ps are ribonucleoproteins. The record is from RNAcentral.
UCUUGGGUAAUCGCGGUCUACUUUGGUAGGCUGAGGAAAGUCCAUGCCCGCACAAGCUGCGAUGCUUGUAGUGUUCGUGCUCAGCCCAAUAAGCUGAGGCACUAGCGUAAGCUAGUGACGGCGAGUAAAAGCGCUAAAGGCUUAUGGUCCAUGCGUGAGUAACUCUAAAAGCGCAACAGUGACGAAGCAUUACUGGAAACGGUAAUGGUGGAACGGGUAAGCCCCACGAGCGAGUAACCCAAACUAUGGUAGGGGCGUUCCGCCACGGCAAAUGAACCAGCGACGGAACAGUUACUCUUUGAGUAACCGAGAUAGAUGAUUACCGAAAUACUUAAUCUUCCUGCGUUAAGUAUGGAACAGAACAUGGCUUAUAG